RNAcentral lists this ribosomal RNA (250 nucleotides) under uncultured bacterium. RNAcentral describes it as "partial 16S ribosomal RNA". It matches the Rfam family "Bacterial small subunit ribosomal RNA", at positions 1251 to 1500 of the family's 1533-position model. The record is from RNAcentral.
AAGAUCGUGAGAUGGAGCAAAUCCCAGAAAUAACGUCCCAGUUCGGAUUGUAGUCUGCAACCCGGCUACAUGAAGCUGGAAUCGCUAGUAAUCGCGGAUCAGAAUGCCGCGGUGAAUACGUUCCCGGGUCUUGUACACACCGCCCGUCACACCAUGGGAGCCGGAAAUGCCCGAAGUCAGUGACCCAACCGCAAGGAGGGAGCUGCCGAAGGUGGAGCUGGUAACUGGGGUGAAGUCGUAACAAGGUAGC